GAGAACUGGAUAUACGGAGACGUGUACGUCCGGUUCGGAGGCGAGUACUUGGAAACCUACCAUAGAAAUAUGACAAGGAGCUGGGUACUUGGCCUAC
This 97-nucleotide non-coding RNA is filed under the name Bacteroides xylanisolvens. Lineage: Bacteria; Pseudomonadati; Bacteroidota; Bacteroidia; Bacteroidales; Bacteroidaceae. The record is from RNAcentral.